Long non-coding RNA from Anthonomus grandis grandis, 1508 nucleotides. RefSeq lists it as uncharacterized. The record is from RefSeq and is a predicted model, not a curated record. NCBI's taxonomy places the organism in Eukaryota, Metazoa, Arthropoda, Insecta, Coleoptera, Curculionidae. The transcript has 6 exons.
AAAAAAACGAAUUAACAACUUUGGUAUUGUUUGGAAGGUAAACAGCUUAAUUCCUUUAUGUAAAGCCACCUUAACAUGUUUUUGCAUAAUUCUGACUCACGUUGGUUGCUAUCGGGCUUAAGCCAUAAAAAUCGAAGAAAAAAAGAAGAAGACGAAGAGACUUUCACUUGUCAUUUCAAUGUCACUUUCCGGCCCACAAGCAUAAACGCCACCGGCAACGGAAGUUCCCAAAAUCCAAACAAAUGUUGGAAGAUAUUUUUAAGUCUCCGCAUCUUUCUUACUUUCCUAUAUGAAAAUAAAAUGUAAGUAUCACAAUUACACACAUACAAGUUUUUUUUUUUAAUUCAGUUUCAUAAUUACCAAUUUUUAGUGAAUAAUCCUGAAAUUUAUGAAAAUACAUACAUUUUAAGGUUAUGUCAUAAUGUUUUGAUUGUUAUAUUUGAUUUUGUUUUUGUUAUUUUAGUGGACUACACCAACAAAGGUUAUGUGUUUUGCACCAGAUUGAAAGCAUCAUAGCGAAAAACGGACCUGUCAUAUCUUUAAAUUUUCAAAAGAGCCCCUGGAAAAAGAAAAAUGAAUAUCUUUGCCAAGGAAUAGGUACUAAGGCAAAUGGAUAAAAAACCUUCAGUCCAUGCAUUGGUAUGUAAUUGUUGACAAAAAUACAAUGAAUGGCCUCACUACUUUUCCACAUGCAAAGAGGUUAACCAAGGAGAAAUUAAAGAAAUUGUCAAAAACCUAGGUAAAUACAGAAUUGCUUAGUACAAACAUAUCUAUACCCAGUACAAGUUCGUCCACUUCUUUGAAGCAUGGUACUUCAAACAGAAACACUGUCAACAAUUUUGUAGAAGGUGAGCCGGUGUCAAAUUCCAGUAAGGGACAUGAUUUCAAUUUUGCACCAACAGCAGAGCUAAAAUUCAUUUUGCCGCAAAAAACUGGAGGAUGUGAAAGAAAAAAGUGCAGAAGUUAAAAUUAAGUUUUUCAUAUGAGCACAUAAAAAAUAAUCAUGACAAAGUUCAGUUGUAUACAGGUUUGACAUGUAAUAAAUAUUUUUGUAAUCUUAUUAAGUUAAUUAGUUUUAUACAUUAUUUAAAUAAUAAUUGUAUACUUCACAUAGAAUAUGCAGAAAUUAUAUGUACAUAUAUAAAUUUUUUUAUUAAGAUAAGGACAACAUGUAUUAAAGCAUAACACAUAAUAUAGACACACACGUAAUAUCUUCAUUAAAAAUUAUGAUUGUAUGUUAUGUAGCAUUAGAGCCUAAAAACAUUAAGGAGAAUAAAGGUCGUUAUUGGCAAAUGACAAUAUUAUUUUCUCUAUUUCCUACAUUUUUGGUGAAGGGAAUAGGCUCUGCCCUAAAAAGCCAGGUUAAACCAAGAGCAAAAAAGUUUAGGUCUCAUGAGUGUAAGUAAAGUAAACCUUUCUAUUAAAAAGGCCAUCCAAGAUAAAAAAAAAUAUACUAAAAAUAUUAAUGUUAAUUCUUUAGCGACAUCUAGGGUGGAUAUGCUGAAUCA